GCUCACCACGCGCAGCAGCGAGCACCAAGCAGAGCAGGGGAGAGAGCAGAGCGCCAGCAGCCGUCCGAUCCUUCGCCGCAAAAGCAAGAGGCUGAUCCGAUGGCUCUCGCUCUCUCCGGCUCUUCCGCGCUCCGCGCCGCCCUGUCCACGCUGGCCCCGAGGGCCUCGGCCACCAGGGGCUACGCGGCGUCGGCGGCGUACGGGGCCAUGCGGCGGGCGGCUGCGGCCGCGGAGGGCGCCGCCGCGGGGGAGGCCAAGGAGGCCGGGCGCGGCGCCGCCGCCGAGAUCUCGUGGGUCCCCGACCCCGUCACGGGCCACUACCGCCCCGCCAACUGGGCCGCCGCCGCCGACCCCGCCGACCUCCGCGCCGCGCACCUCGCCCGCACCUACGCCAGGGCGUGAGGAGGGCCCCGUUUGCCGCCGUCUGAUAUAACAUACCAAAGGGGAAGGGGUGGUGGGGGUUCGUUUGGCUUGGCGUCGUCGUCGCGCGCGCUCCGGUGACGGCGGCGGGCCGGCAUGGCCGUGGAGGAAGUCCUCGGUUGGUUGGUCGCUGUGCAACUUGACGCCUCAACAUCUCGGCUCGGCCAAAGGGAGAAUGAAGAUACAAUACAAUACAGGAAGAGCGGCCUCCGGUCGCCGUGGUGUGCGUGCGUGUGUGGGCUGGAUGCCCUGUUCUCAGCUAGCGCUCUCUUAUCCUAUCAGAUUCAGAGCAGGGUUUUGCUGAUGUUCUACGUUUUGUUACUCGCUAUCACCAGAAAUAAAAAAGUUCCUU
Molecule: long non-coding RNA, 772 nt
Filed under: Setaria italica (foxtail millet)
Lineage: Eukaryota; Viridiplantae; Streptophyta; Magnoliopsida; Poales; Poaceae
Description: long non-coding RNA (SITA_LNC003439)
Source: RNAcentral